GUGUCAGCCGCCGCGGUAAUACGUAGGGUGCAAGCGUUGUCCGGAAUUAUUGGGCGUAAAGAGCUCGUAGGCGGUUUGUCACGUCUGCUGUGAAAUUUCGAGGCUCAACCUCGAAAUUGCAGUGGGUACGGGCAGGCUAGAGUGCGGUAGGGGAGAUGGGAAUUCCUGGUGUAGCGGUGGAAUGCGCAGAUAUCAGGAGGAACACCAAUGGCGAAGGCACAUCUCUGGGCCGUAACUGACGCUGAGGAGCGAAAGCGUGGGGAGCAAACAGGAUUAGAUACCCUGGUAGUCCACGCCGUAAACGGUGGGUGCUAGCUGUGGGCCACAUUCCACGUGGUCCGUGACGAAGUUAACACAUUAAGCACCCCGCCUGGGGAGUACGGCCGCAAGGCUAAA
This 396-nucleotide ribosomal RNA is filed under the name uncultured bacterium. RNAcentral's name for it is "bacterial SSU rRNA". It matches the Rfam family "Bacterial small subunit ribosomal RNA", at positions 505 to 898 of the family's 1533-position model. The record is from RNAcentral.